This 915-nucleotide ribosomal RNA is filed under the name Triticum aestivum (bread wheat). RNAcentral describes it as "partial small subunit ribosomal RNA". Lineage: Eukaryota; Viridiplantae; Streptophyta; Magnoliopsida; Poales; Poaceae. The record is from RNAcentral.
AUGUAUGGUGCUGCUUCAUGUUAUCAUUAUGAAAAAGAAUCAUUCUCUAUCGUGUCUUGGAAUGUUCGCGGGUUAGGCGACCAUGACAAAUGUGCUAAUGUGUUCUCUGAACUUAACAACUUGCGCCCUUCAAUCGCUCUGCUCCAAGAAACUAAGCUGCAAAAACCAGAUACAAUCAAACUGCGCUCUAUCUUGCCACGUUUCCUUGACUCUAACAACCACCUUGACGCAAUCGGAUCUGCGGGAGGAAUUCUCUCGGCCUCUAACUCACGUUGCUUCACGCUUCUUAAUUGUCAACAUAGGCGUUUUACACUACCCUAACUCUCUCAUGCAAUCGCCUCGCCACAUAAUAUCUUUAUCACAAACGUCUAUGCCCCCUCGCAACGGGAUCUAAAACUCGAAUUCCUCGACGAACUUAAACAGCUCGAACCACCACCUCAAUCUCCCUGGCUCCUAAUCGGAGAUUUUAACCUAAUCCGCUUCCCUAAUGAAAGGAACAACAACAACUUCCGACGAUCCGAGGCCGACGCUUUCAAUGACACCAUUGAUCAGCUUGCUCUUUUAGAACUCCCUCUUCUAGAUCGCCAAUUUACUUGGUCAAAUAAAAGGAUGUCACCUACACUAGUACGACUAGAUAGAGUUCUUAUAAACCUGUCUUGGGAUGCUCUAUUCCCUAACUUGCACCUCACCUCUCUUACUCGAUUCGCCUCUGAUCACGUACCACUCUUGGUUACUAUAUCCACAACCAUUCCUUCUUCCCGCCUUUUUCGGUUUGAACGCUAUUGGACCUCCUCCAGGCCUGCAGAAACAUCGUGCGCAACAUCUGGCAGCCCAAUGUUCAAAACCAUAAUGGGCCUCUUGCAGACUCCGCUGCUUCUCUUGCUCAAAACAUUAAAAAAACACAACCGGCCCUAA